RNAcentral lists this unclassified non-coding RNA (1853 nucleotides) under uncultured fungus. Its description in RNAcentral is "sequence contains 18S rRNA gene, ITS1, 5.8S rRNA gene, ITS2, 28S rRNA gene". The stretch from base 721 to 1853 matches the Rfam family "Eukaryotic large subunit ribosomal RNA", at positions 1 to 961 of the family's 3401-position model. Lineage: Eukaryota; Fungi. The record is from RNAcentral.
GGAAGGAUCAUUAACACGUAUCCACGUAUCAACCCCUCUGUGAAAACCUAUCUCUUGUAAGGCUUGGUCUUAGUGUGCCGUUCGCAUAAAGUCCUAAUGAUGGAGGCUCUUCGGAGCCUAGGGCUUGAACAGCAUGUGUUUGACGUCCAGCCGCCACUUUUCCAUCGUUGGUCCUUUACAACUUUUUAACCCCUUUGUACUCUUUUUGUACUGAACCAAUUCUUCGAUGCUCUUUUACUAGAGUGACGAUAGAUAUUACGAAACUAAAGAACAACUCUUAGCAACGGAUAUCUUGGUUCCCGCAACGAUGAAGAACGCAGCGAAAUGCGAUACGUAAUGCGAAUUGCAGAAUUCAGUGAAUCAUCAAAUCUUUGAACGCAAAUUGCACUCUUGGGUAUGCCCGGGAGUACGCUUCUUUCAGUAUCGGUUCUAUCUAAACUCGCCUGCGUUUUUACGAACACUGGCGGAAAUUGAGCGUCACACUUUUCUCGAAGUGUGUUGCUUGAAAGGUAGAAGCGGUAGUUCCCUUCUUUUUCUCUCGAGAAAAAACUCAUUGAUUCUUCUUGGGGCUUGCCCCAAGCUGAAGCAAACUGAGUGACGUGGUUAAGUUCGCCUCGUGCGACACCGCUACGUCAACCACCUCAGUGCGCUGCAGUUGGAUCAACCGAGUGCGGAACACUAUUACCGUUCUUUGGAUUAUUUACUCCAAACAACAAAAUCAGAUCUGAAAUGAAGUGAGAGGACCCGCUGAACUUAAGCAUAUCAUUAAGCGGAGGAAAAGAAAAUAACAAUGAUUCCCCUAGUAACGGCGAGUGAAGCGGGAAGAGCUCAAGCUGAAAAUCCGGAUGCCUUGCGGUAUCCCGAAUUGUAGUCUAGAGACGUGCUGUCAGUGUGUGACCUGGGUAUAAGUCUUUUGGAACAAGGCAUCAUAGAGGGUGAGAAUCCCGUCUUUGACCCAGAGUACGCCACGUACGACACGCGUUCGAAGAGUCGAGUUGGUCGGGACUCCAGCUCUAAAUGGGUGGUAAGAUUCAUCUAAAGCUAAAUAUAGGCGGGAGACCGAUAGCGAACAAGUACCGUGAGGGAAAGAUGAAAAGAACUUUGAAAAGAGAGUUAAAAAGUACUUGAAAUUGUUAAGAGGAAAGCGAUGGAAACCAGUCGUGCCUGGUGCAACUAAAGUCUUCGCCUGCGAAGAAGGUGCGGUUUGAGUGGUUAAACCUCUGGCCGUGCCUUGGACGUUGUGUGGGGGUGGACGUUGUGUUGGGUGGGUCAGCAUCGAUUUGGCUUGCUUGGGAGAAAGCCAGGGGGGAGCUAGCUUUGCCUUCGGGUGUCGCCGUAUAUCCCUCGGGCUCUACCGGGUGCUGGAUCGAGGACUUGACAACGUGCGCCUUACGGCUUGGAUCCCUAUCUCUGCGGUGUCAACGGCUCUGGACAGAAAAUCUGUGCUGGUCGUGAAGCGCUGUACUGGGUGGGUGCAUUCAUAUGUACGUUCGCGAUGCUGACGAAAUGGUUCUCAUCGACCCGUCUUGAAACACGGACCAAGGAGUCUAACAUAUGUGCGAGUAUUUGGGUGGAAAACCCUGAUGCGUAAUGAAAGUAAAGGCGGACUCGCGCCGCUGAGGUAGGAACCCUGGCUUCGGUUUGGGGGGCACUAUCGACCGAACGUUCGCUUGCGAAAGUUUUGAGUAAGAGCACAUCUGUUGGGACCCGAAAGAUGGUGAUCUAUGCCAGAACAGGGUGAAGGCAGGGGAAACUCUGCUGGAAGCUCGUAGCGAUACUGACGUGCAAAUCGUUCGUCUGAUUUUGGUAUAGGGGCGAAAGACUAAUCGAACCAUCUAGUAGCUGGUUCCCAC